AGAGUUUGAUCCUGGCUCAGGAUGAACGCUAGCGGCAGGCCUAAUACAUGCAAGUCGAGGGGCAUCACGGGAGCAAUCCUGGUGGCGACCGGCAGACGGGUGCGUAACGCGUAUGUAACCUACCUCUCAACGGGGGAUACUCUCGGGAAACUGAGAACAAUACCCCAUGGUAUGGCUGAAGGGCAUCCUUUGGUCAUUAAAGAUUUAUCAUUGAGAGAUGGGCAUGCGUUGCAUUAGCUAGUUGGUGAGGUAACGGCUCACCAAGGCGAUGAUGCAUAGCUGGUCUGAGAGGAUGAUCAGCCACACUGGCACUGAGACACGGGCCAGACUCCUACGGGAGGCAGCAGUAGGGAAUAUUGGACAAUGGGCGCAAGCCUGAUCCAGCCAUGCCGCGUGAAGGAUGAAGGCCCUCUGGGUUGUAAACUUCUUUUAGCAGGGGAUAAACCACCACUAUACGUGGUGCUGAAGGUACCUGCAGAAUAAGCACCGGCUAACUCCGUGCCAGCAGCCGCGGUAAUACGGAGGGUGCAAGCGUUGUCCGGAUUUAUUGGGUUUAAAGGGUGCGUAGGCGGACUUGUAAGUCAGCGGUGAAAUCCCAAGGCUCAACCUUGGAAUUGCCAUUGAUACUGCAGGUCUUGAAUCAGGUCGAGGUAGUUGGAAUACGUAGUGUAGCGGUGAAAUGCUUAGAUAUUACGUAGAACACCUAUUGCGAAGGCAGAUUACUAGGCCUGAAUUGACGCUGAUGCACGAAAGUGUGGGGAGCAAACAGGAUUAGAUACCCUGGUAGUCC
This 790-nucleotide ribosomal RNA is filed under the name uncultured bacterium. RNAcentral's name for it is "bacterial SSU rRNA". It matches the Rfam family "Bacterial small subunit ribosomal RNA", at positions 8 to 796 of the family's 1533-position model. The record is from RNAcentral.